This 83-nucleotide transfer RNA is filed under the name Lentinula boryana. RNAcentral's name for it is "tRNA-Gly". It matches the Rfam family "tRNA". From Rfam's summary of the family: Transfer RNA (tRNA) molecules are approximately 80 nucleotides in length. Their secondary structure includes four short double-helical elements and three loops (D, anti-codon, and T loops). The record is from RNAcentral. Lineage: Eukaryota; Fungi; Basidiomycota; Agaricomycetes; Agaricales; Omphalotaceae.
GCAUUAAUGGGGUAGUGGUAACCUGGGUCGUUGCCACUCGCGGCAGUAUCGACCCGCCGGGGGUUCGAUUCCCCCUUAAUGCA